GCCCGGCUAGCUCAAUCGGUAGAGCAAUUGACUCUUAAUCAAUGGGUUCAGGGUUCGAGUCCCUGGUCGGGUACCA
This 76-nucleotide transfer RNA is filed under the name Puniceicoccales bacterium. RNAcentral's name for it is "tRNA-Lys". It matches the Rfam family "tRNA". From Rfam's summary of the family: Transfer RNA (tRNA) molecules are approximately 80 nucleotides in length. Their secondary structure includes four short double-helical elements and three loops (D, anti-codon, and T loops). Further hydrogen bonds mediate the characteristic L-shaped molecular structure. tRNAs have two regions of fundamental functional importance: the anti-codon, which is responsible for specific mRNA codon recognition, and the 3' end, to which the tRNAs corresponding amino acid is attached (by aminoacyl-tRNA synthetases). tRNAs cope with the degeneracy of the genetic code in two manners: having more than one tRNA (with a specific anti-codon) for a particular amino acid; and 'wobble' base-pairing, i.e. permitting non-standard base-pairing at the 3rd anti-codon position. Lineage: Bacteria; Pseudomonadati; Verrucomicrobiota; Opitutia; Puniceicoccales. The record is from RNAcentral.